GUCAUCAUGUUCAGCCUCUUUUUUCCCCUUUUUCUUCUUUUGCUUUCUCUAUAUAUGGUAGUUGUUCAAUUUUAGGUUUUCUUAUUGGGGAAAUUUCUUGCAAAUCUUUACUACUAUAAAAGGAAAGAAAUUGAAAGCUAUCCUCGAAACAGAUCAUUUGAAUCUCUGGUCCUUUGCCAUGUACCUGAAGACAAGUCCUUCGAAGGGGACAUUAAGAAACUACAGCUACUUAUUAAUCUCUCUCACACACACAAUAUAUUGAAUAGAAGUAUCAAUGGAUGAAGCGCUGCGGCACCAGGUUCAUCUGAACUCAGUUCUUUUUAUUCGUAACAUACAUUUAUGUAGAAAAAUGAACUAAAACAGUAAGU
Lycium barbarum (goji berry) is the source of this 368-nucleotide long non-coding RNA. RefSeq lists it as uncharacterized. The record is from RefSeq and is a predicted model, not a curated record. The transcript has 3 exons. NCBI's taxonomy places the organism in Eukaryota, Viridiplantae, Streptophyta, Magnoliopsida, Solanales, Solanaceae.